Suricata suricatta (meerkat) is the source of this 648-nucleotide long non-coding RNA. RefSeq lists it as uncharacterized. Lineage: Eukaryota; Metazoa; Chordata; Mammalia; Carnivora; Herpestidae. The transcript has 3 exons. The record is from RefSeq and is a predicted model, not a curated record.
CCGGCCACUCCCUGCCCCUGUGCUCCCUCUGAGAAAUACUGCUCCCCACCUCCUGGCAGAGACACUAGGCCCACCUCUGCCUGGAAGAGCAAAGAGAAGGCGAAGGGAGGUGGCAGAGAGAAUCAGAGUUCAGACCCACAGGACACCCAACCAAGAUCCAAAGUAUAGCAUGGAGAGUAACGACACAGGAAGUGGGAGAUUUUAGGGAAAAAAGAAACCUAUAAAGUUCAACAGCAAAAUGUUCCUUUUCCACUGAGUUUCUGAGGGAGGCAGACCUAUGAGUCAUCCUGCAUUGUAAUGAAGCAGACCGAAAAUGCAUUCUGAACACCUUCAACAGGCAAAAUUUUUGGAGAAAAGGUGUACUUUGCCCAAGUGCACGAUAAAUAUUUGCUGAUUUGAGGGGAAGAUGGUAUGUAAAUAUAGUCUUCCCUGAAAAAGGAGACUUUUCCUUAUCUAAAGGAAAAAGCCCAGGAUAGAAGUAUGAACUGGAUUUGAAUUCACAGUUUGCCUACUGCAUAUUCCUGGGAAAGUUACUUAACUUCUCUGAAACAUAGUCUCCCCAUCCGUAAGACGAGGAAAAUAAUAUGGACCUCUACAGUUGUUGUCAAGAGUAAAUGAAAUAAAAAUAUGUGAUACUCCUGGCGCAUA